This 269-nucleotide unclassified non-coding RNA is filed under the name plant metagenome. RNAcentral describes it as "partial contains small subunit ribosomal RNA, internal transcribed spacer 1, and 5.8S ribosomal RNA". The record is from RNAcentral.
UUUCCGUAGGUGAACCUGCGGAAGGAUCAUUAAUGUGUUGUCAUGGGGUUCGAUGCUGGCAGCCAAUUUUUGGAUGCAUGUGCUUGCCCUAACAAUCAUCUUCCAAACACCUGUGCACAUUUUUGAGGGAGUCUUGAGUUGGUUGCCGCUCUUGGGUGAUUUUCUCACAUUCCCUUAAAUCAUUAUACGCUAUUAACAAUGUUGAACGUGCUCUGUGCCGCAAGGCCAUUAAUAUAAUACAACUUUUAACAACGGAUCUCUUGGCUCUC